RNAcentral lists this ribosomal RNA (253 nucleotides) under uncultured bacterium. RNAcentral describes it as "partial 16S ribosomal RNA". It matches the Rfam family "Bacterial small subunit ribosomal RNA", at positions 524 to 776 of the family's 1533-position model. The record is from RNAcentral.
UACGUAGGGGGCAAGCGUUGUCCGGAAUUAUUGGGCGUAAAGAGCGCGUAGGCGGUCCGAUAAGUCGGCUGUGAAAGUCAGGGGCUCAACCCUUGAAAGCCGGCCGAUACUGUCGGACUAGAGUCCGGAAGAGGCAAGUGGAAUUCCCGGUGUAGCGGUGAAAUGCGCAGAUAUCGGGAGGAACACCAAUGGCGAAGGCGGAUCUCUGGGCCGUAACUGACGCUGAGGAGCGAAAGCAUGGGGAGCGAACAGG